RNAcentral lists this ribosomal RNA (401 nucleotides) under uncultured Phenylobacterium sp. Its description in RNAcentral is "bacterial SSU rRNA". It matches the Rfam family "Bacterial small subunit ribosomal RNA", at positions 355 to 774 of the family's 1533-position model. The record is from RNAcentral. Lineage: Bacteria; Pseudomonadati; Pseudomonadota; Alphaproteobacteria; Caulobacterales; Caulobacteraceae.
UAGGGAAUCUUGCGCAAUGGGCGAAAGCCUGACGCAGCCAUGCCGCGUGAAUGAUGAAGGUCUUAGGAUUGUAAAAUUCUUUCACCGGGGAAGAUAAUGACGGUACCCGGAGAAGAAGCCCCGGCUAACUUCGUGCCAGCAGCCGCGGUAAUACGAAGGGGGCUAGCGUUGCUCGGAAUUACUGGGCGUAAAGGGCGCGUAGGCGGAUAGUUUAGUCAGAGGUGAAAGCCCAGGGCUCAACCUUGAGAUGCCUUUGAUACUGGCUAUCUUGAGUUCGGGAGAGGUGAGUGGAAUGCCGAGUGUAGAGGUGAAAUUCGUAGAUAUUCGGCGGAACACCAGUGGCGAAGGCGACUCACUGGCCCGAUACUGACGCUGAGGCGCGAAAGCGUGGGGAGCAAACA